RNAcentral lists this ribosomal RNA (497 nucleotides) under uncultured bacterium. Its description in RNAcentral is "partial 16S ribosomal RNA". It matches the Rfam family "Bacterial small subunit ribosomal RNA", at positions 28 to 507 of the family's 1533-position model. The record is from RNAcentral.
GAUGAACGCUGGCGGCGUGCCUAAUACAUGCGAGUCGAGCGAACAGACGAGGAGCUUGCUCCUCUGACGUUAGCGGCGGACGGGUGAGUAACACGUGGAUAACCUACCUAUAAGACUGGGAUAACUUCGGGAAACCGGAGCUAAUACCGGAUAAUAUAUUGAACCGCAUGGUUCAAUAGUGAAAGACGGUUUUGCUGUCACUUAUAGAUGGAUCCGCGCCGCAUUAGCUAGUUGGUAAGGUAACGGCUUACCAAGGCGACGUUGCGUAGCCGACCUGAGAGGGUGAUCGGCCACACUGGAACUGAGACACGGUCCAGACUCCUACGGGAGGCAGCAGUAGGGAAUCUUCCGCAAUGGGCGAAAGCCUGACGGAGCAACGCCGCGUGAGUGAUGAAGGUCUUCGGAUCGUAAAACUCUGUUAUUAGGGAAGAACAAAUGUGUAAGUAACUAUGCACGUCUUGACGGUACCUAAUCAGAAAGCCACGGCUAACUACGUG